RNAcentral lists this ribosomal RNA (217 nucleotides) under uncultured bacterium. RNAcentral's name for it is "partial 16S ribosomal RNA". It matches the Rfam family "Bacterial small subunit ribosomal RNA", at positions 116 to 334 of the family's 1533-position model. The record is from RNAcentral.
UAUCGGAACGUGCCCGGGGAGUGGGGGAGUAACGCAGCGAAAGUUGCGCUAAUACCGCAUACGAUCUAAGGAUGAAAGCAGGGGACCGCAAGGCCUUGUGCUCCUGGAGCGGCCGAUAUCUGAUUAGCUAGUUGGUGGGGUAAAGGCCUACCAAGGCAUCGAUCAGUAGCUGGUCUGAGAGGACGACCAGCCACACUGGAACUGAGACACGGUCCAG